UACGUAGGUGGCGAGCGUUAUCCGGAAUUAUUGGGCGUAAAGAGCGCGCAGGUGGUUGAUUAAGUCUGAUGUGAAAGCCCACGGCUUAACCGUGGAGGGUCAUUGGAAACUGGUCGACUUGAGUGCAGAAGAGGGAAGUGGAAUUCCAUGUGUAGCGGUGAAAUGCGUAGAGAUAUGGAGGAACACCAGUGGCGAAGGCGGCUUCCUGGACAGCAACUGACGCUGAGGCGCGAAAGCGUGGGUAGCGAACAGGAUUAGA
RNAcentral lists this ribosomal RNA (259 nucleotides) under uncultured prokaryote. RNAcentral's name for it is "partial 16S ribosomal RNA". It matches the Rfam family "Bacterial small subunit ribosomal RNA", at positions 524 to 782 of the family's 1533-position model. The record is from RNAcentral.